UAUACGCCCGUCUAUGACGGGACGUAUUAUGGUAUACCCCGCGUCCGUCCGUCCGUCUGUUAAUGUCGUACGCUACGUCAAAUAUCCUUUGACAGAUUUUCUUCAAAUUUUAACACAAUCUUAAUAUUGAUAAACCCUGAUCCCCUUUCGUUUUUGACGGAAUUCUGAAUUGUCGUUCCAGAGUUAUGGGACUUUGUUCGUCAAAAUUUCGUUAUUUCAUUGAAUGUCCUACUGUAGCUAUAUAAAAAUGUUAAAGUUGUUAUAACUUUGGUAUGCUUGGACCUAGAGUCUUGAAACUUGACAUGAAGGUUGGCCAGAACUAGUAAGUAACCCCUGGACAUUUCAAGGUCAUUCAUUUGAAGGUCAAGGUCACUGUGACCUUGAAUGUAAAAAUGUUAAAGUUCUUAUUUCAUGUUAUAACUUUGGUAUGCUUGUACCUAGAGUCUUCAAACUUGAAAUAAAGAUUGGCCAGUACUAGAAGAUGACCACUGGUCAUUUCAAUGUCAUUCAUUUGAAGGUCAAGGUCACUGUGACCUUAAAUGUUAAAAUGUUAAAAUUGUUAUAACUUUGGUAUGCUUGGACAUAGAGUCUUCAAACUUGACAUGAAGGUUUGCAAGCACACUUAGAUGACCACUGGUCAUUUCAAGGUCAUUCAUUCUAAGGUCAAGGUCACACAAGGUCACUGUGACCUUAAAUGUUAAAAUGUUAAAAUUGUUAUAACUUUGGUAUGCUUGGACAUAGAGUCUUCAAACUUGACAUGAAGGUUUGCAAGCACACUUAGAUGACCACUGGUCAUUUCAAGGUCAUUCAUUCUAAGGUCAAGGUCACUGUGACCUUAAAUGUUAUUGUUGUUCAUGUAUCCUACCGUAGCUCAAAUAUCCCCCGAUGGAUUUUUUAUACGCCCGUCUAUGACGGGACGUAUUAUGGUAUACCCCGCGUCCGUCCGUCCGUCCGUCCGUCCGUCUGUUAAUGUCGUACGCUACGUCAAAUAUCCUUUGACAGAUUUUCUUCAAAUUUUAACACAAUCUUAAUAUUGAUAAACCCUGAUCCCCUUUUGUUUUUGACGGAAUUCUGAAUUGUCGUUCCAGAGUUAUGGGACUUUGUUCGUCAAAAUUUCGUGAUUUCAUUGAAUGUCCUACUGUAGCUCAAAUAUCCUUCGAUGGAUUUUUUUCAAAUUUCAACACAAUCUUAAUAUUGAUAAACC
Molecule: long non-coding RNA, 1204 nt
Organism: Dreissena polymorpha
Lineage: Eukaryota; Metazoa; Mollusca; Bivalvia; Myida; Dreissenidae
Exons: 2
Source: RefSeq, a predicted model, not a curated record